Molecule: long non-coding RNA, 199 nt
Organism: Saccostrea echinata
Lineage: Eukaryota; Metazoa; Mollusca; Bivalvia; Ostreida; Ostreidae
Exons: 3
Source: RefSeq, a predicted model, not a curated record
UUUAUCAGUGACCCUUUCAGAUGAUAGUGCCGAUGUAAACUUCGAUGAUGACUUCACAGAUAUUAAUCUUCCUGACGAGUCUUUUUCUUCCCAGCAUGCAAAUUCUUCUGUUUCUUCAACAACUUGCAAAGUUCAAAUUGACUUCCUCGGCUACGUGUAAAUGAGAGACCACUUUUGGCUGGUAUUAAUGGCACACAGG